GACGAACGCUGGCGGCGUGCUUAACACAUGCAAGUCGAACGGUAAGGCCCUUCGGGGUACACGAGUGGCGAACGGGUGAGUAACACGUGGGUGAUCUGCCCUGCACUUCGGGAUAAGCCUGGGAAACUGGGUCUAAUACCGGAUAGGACCACUGCCUGCAUGGGUGGUGGUGGAAAGCUUUUGCGGUGUGGGAUGGGCCCGCGGCCUAUCAGCUUGUGGGUGGGGUGAUGGCCUACAAAGGCGACGACGGGUAGCCGGCCUGAGAGGGUGACCGGCCACACUGGGACUGAGAUACUGCCCAGACUCCUACGGGAGGCAGCAGUGGGGAAUAUUGCACAAUGGGCGCAAGCCUGAUGCAGCGACGCCGCGUGAGGGAUGACGGCCUUCUGGUUGUAAACCUCUUUCAGCACCGACGAAGCGCAAGUGACGGUAGGUGCAGAAGAAGGACCGGCCAACUACGUGCCAGCCGCCGCCGUAA
This 478-nucleotide ribosomal RNA is filed under the name uncultured bacterium. Its description in RNAcentral is "partial 16S ribosomal RNA". It matches the Rfam family "Bacterial small subunit ribosomal RNA", at positions 28 to 523 of the family's 1533-position model. The record is from RNAcentral.